Long non-coding RNA from Passer domesticus (house sparrow), 792 nucleotides. RefSeq lists it as uncharacterized. The record is from RefSeq and is a predicted model, not a curated record. Lineage: Eukaryota; Metazoa; Chordata; Aves; Passeriformes; Passeridae. The transcript has 3 exons.
UCUCAGGAACAGAACUGCACCAUUCAAUGACAAAGAAUUUCAAAAUUAAUGACCAAGCAUGGUGUGCAGAGCAGGGAUGCUGCAGUCCCAUUGCAAGGUUUCUAGUCUAAGACCCAGCACUCCUGCACAGCCUGCAGAAACAAACAGAUCCCCACCACCCAGCUGCGAGCCCAGGCAACAUUGCCCUCGCUUCCAACACUCUGACCCAUGUGCCAGCAAUCUCUAGAGCUGCUUGGAUGGCUUUCACUCCUGCAAAGUGACCAACUCACCAUCUCCUUCCAUGGCUUCAAAGACUCAAUAGACUGCUUGGGUUUUUCCUCCCCAAACACUAAACAUCUUCUUUGACCAGGAUACAAUCACCUUUGUUGAAAAUGCCGCAUCAGCCAAUCUUCUGGAACAACACGCACCAGGAAGCUGUGAGGAAAGGAGUGUGUGUAAGCAAUCCACUGUCUGUUUUGUGAAAAGAAUGAGGUCAUGCAAUGUCCCAGGGAGGCUCCAAAUGCAUAAGUGAUUUACCUUGUCUAUCUCCAGAUGACCAGCCAGCCACGAACACCCUUCUCAUGAAGCGCAUGUCUGGAGAAAAUAAAAGGGAAAAUCUCAUGAGAUGAGAAAAAGACAGGGACAUCAGUCAAUAAUUGUCACCAUGGGCAAACUAGACUAAAUUCAGAGAAAGUUACUUUAGUUUAUUGUCUGCUAAAGCAGAUUUAAAAGUGGACCUUUUUGCAUCUCAGGGACAUGUGUCAUCAUGGUCAAUCUGGCUCAGGGAACACAGGACAAUCACAGCUUUUCAAG